UGCCAAUGGCACUGCCCGGUAGCUAAAUGCGGAAGAGAUAAGUGCUGAAAGCAUCUAAGCACGAAACUUGCCCCGAGAUGAGUUCUCCCUGAGACUUAGAGUCUCCUGAAGGAACGUUGAAGACGACGACGUUGAUAGGCCGGGUGUGUAAGCGCAGCGAUGCGUUGAGCUAACCGGUACUAAUGAACCGUGAGGCUUAACCUU
RNAcentral lists this ribosomal RNA (204 nucleotides) under Salmonella enterica subsp. enterica serovar Infantis. RNAcentral describes it as "partial 23S ribosomal RNA". It matches the Rfam family "Bacterial large subunit ribosomal RNA", at positions 2727 to 2925 of the family's 2925-position model. Lineage: Bacteria; Pseudomonadati; Pseudomonadota; Gammaproteobacteria; Enterobacterales; Enterobacteriaceae. RNAcentral also lists the same sequence under 6 other names. The record is from RNAcentral.